AACGCACAUUGCGCCUCCUAGCAUUCCAGGGGGCAUGCCUGUUCGAGGGUCAUUUAAAAGCCUUCAGGCGAGCUUGGUCCUGAGGGAAUGGUCACCUUCCGGUUGCCCAUCCUCCGAAAUCCAACGGCGGACAACCCCCGGUGGAGCUGCUAGCGUGGUGAGGAAUACUUUCGCCAGUGGUCUCCGAGGGACAGUCCUGCUGGUUGAACCCCCAACGGUUGACCUCGGAUCAGGUAGGGAA
This 241-nucleotide unclassified non-coding RNA is filed under the name uncultured Ascomycota. Its description in RNAcentral is "sequence contains ITS2". Lineage: Eukaryota; Fungi; Ascomycota. The record is from RNAcentral.